AAUGGUUCCUAUAUGAUCACUGAAGUUAAGCAACGUCAAACCUGGUCAGUACCUAGAUGGGUGACCACUUGUGAAUACCGAGUGCUGUAGG
Acanthosepion pharaonis is the source of this 91-nucleotide non-coding RNA. The record is from the annotation of a GenBank genome assembly. NCBI's taxonomy places the organism in Eukaryota, Metazoa, Mollusca, Cephalopoda, Sepiida, Sepiidae.